GAUGAACGCUGGCGGCGUGCUUAACACAUGCAAGUCGAACGGAGUUUUAGUGAAUGAUUGAUCUAGCUUGCUAUUGAGAGAAUUCACUAAAACUUAGUGGCGGACGGGUGAGUAACGCGUGGGUAACCUGCCGUAUGCAGGGGGACAACAGCUGGAAACGGCUGCUAAUACCGCAUAAGCGCACAGUACCGCAUGGUACAGUGUGAAAAGUUCUGGCGGCAUACGAUGGACCCGCGUCUGAUUAGCUAGUUGGUGGGGUAACGGCCCACCAAGGCGACGAUCAGUAGCCGGCCUGAGAGGGUGAACGGCCACAUUGGGACUGAGACACGGCCCAA
This 335-nucleotide ribosomal RNA is filed under the name uncultured bacterium. Its description in RNAcentral is "bacterial SSU rRNA". It matches the Rfam family "Bacterial small subunit ribosomal RNA", at positions 28 to 334 of the family's 1533-position model. The record is from RNAcentral.